GGGUUGUGAGGUUAAGCGACUAAGCGUACACGGUGGAUGCCCUGGCAGUCAGAGGCGAUGAAGGGCGUGCUAAUCUGCGAUAAGCGCCGGUAA
RNAcentral lists this ribosomal RNA (93 nucleotides) under Salmonella enterica subsp. enterica serovar Typhimurium. RNAcentral describes it as "partial 23S ribosomal RNA". It matches the Rfam family "Bacterial large subunit ribosomal RNA", at positions 1 to 84 of the family's 2925-position model. Lineage: Bacteria; Pseudomonadati; Pseudomonadota; Gammaproteobacteria; Enterobacterales; Enterobacteriaceae. RNAcentral also lists the same sequence under 2 other names. The record is from RNAcentral.